AAAAAAGAAUGAGUUUUGUCCUGCAAUACGUUGGAGAGGUACUCACAAGUAAAGAAGCUGAAAAAUGGGGACAGUUAUAUGACAACAAGGGAAUCACAUAUCCCUUUGAUCUGGACUAUCAAUGUGAUGAAUUCACAGUGGAUGUGGCUCGAUAUGGCAAUCUAUCUCAUUUUGUGAGUCACAGCUGUGACCGAAUCUUCAGGUGUUCAAUGUUUACACUAAUAACCUCAAUCCUUGUCUUCCCUGAAUAGCGCUGUUUUCCAUGAGAACCAUAAAUGCUGGAGAAGAGCUGACCUUUGAUUAUCAAAAUGAAAGGUUUUAGAGUUACAUCUGCAGAUUCUAUUGACCACAACCCAGCCAAAAAGAGGGUCAGAACGGUAUGUAAAUGUGGAGCUGUGACUUGCAGAAAUUACCUCAACUGAGUUUUCAGGAAAUAGAGCUGAUGAUACUUACAAUUUUUUUGCUAAUGUUAACAUUAAAAAAAAUACAUAUUUGGGACUCUUAUUAUCAAGAUUGUACCUAUGUUAAUUUACAAUUCAUGUUUCAAGACAUUUGCCAAAGCUAUUACUGAUGCCUCUGAAGAGAGGGUCACUGGGUCUCAUGGUCUGAUUUGAAAUCUACAUAUUUAGUGCCUAGAGACCAAACUAAUGGAAGGCAAACUAUUCUCAGCUCAGUAUAUGUGUACCUAAGUCUAUGUGAACAGAGAAAUGCCUCCCAAAGUGUUUGAAAGUGUUAAGCUGAUAAUCUAAUUAACAAUUACUGAGAGAUCAACAUUCAACUUGUCAUACACCUCAAAUUCAGAGAAGUAGAGUUAAUUUGGGCAAAUCUACCAGUUCUGUUUUUGCUACUAUAUUGUCAUUCCUGUUUAAUACUCACUGUACUUAAAUUUGAGACAAACAGGUGAUACUGAAUUUUAUACUCUAUUUUCUACUUUUUCAUUAAAACAUUGGCAUCUUAAUGAUAGAAAUUUAAUAUGUAAAAUUAAA
This is an RNA transcript of Sapajus apella (tufted capuchin), 986 nucleotides long. It is a transcript of the gene named histone-lysine N-methyltransferase SUV39H2 pseudogene, with no coding region annotated. The record is from RefSeq and is a predicted model, not a curated record. The transcript has a single exon. Lineage: Eukaryota; Metazoa; Chordata; Mammalia; Primates; Cebidae.